This 155-nucleotide ribosomal RNA is filed under the name Candidatus Pelagibacter sp. Its description in RNAcentral is "partial 23S ribosomal RNA". It matches the Rfam family "Bacterial large subunit ribosomal RNA", at positions 2761 to 2925 of the family's 2925-position model. Lineage: Bacteria; Pseudomonadati; Pseudomonadota; Alphaproteobacteria; Candidatus Pelagibacterales; Candidatus Pelagibacteraceae. The record is from RNAcentral.
GGGAUAACCGCUGAAAGCAUCUAAGUGGGAAACCCACCUCAAAACUAGUUCUUCCUAUAGAGCCGUAGUAGACCACUACGUUGAUAGGCUGGAUGUGGAAGCGUUGUAAGACGUGUAGCUGACCAGUACUAAUAGCUCAAUUGGCUUGAUUUAUG